AACGCUAGCUACAGGCUUAACACAUGCAAGUCGAGGGGAAACGACAUCGGAAGCUUGCUUUUGAUGGGCGUCGACCGGCGCACGGGUGAGUAACGCGUAUCCAACCUGCCCACCACUUGGGGAUAACCUUGCGAAAGUAAGACUAAUACCCAAUGACGUCUCUAGAAGACAUCUGAAAGAGAUUAAAGAUUUAUCGGUGAUGGAUGGGGAUGCGUCUGAUUAGCUUGUUGGCGGGGUAACGGCCCACCAAGGCGACGAUCAGUAGGGGUUCUGAGAGGAAGGUCCCCCACAUUGGAACUGAGACACGGUCCAAACUCCUACGGGAGGCAGCAGUGAGGAAUAUUGGUCAAUGGGCGAGAGCCUGAACCAGCCAAGUAGCGUGCAGGAAGACGGCCCUAUGGGUUGUAAACUGCUUUUAUAAGGGAAUAAAGUGAGAGUCGUGACUCUUUUUGCAUGUACCUUAUGAAUAAGGACCGGCUAAUUCCGUGCCAGCAGCCGCGGUAAUACGGAAGGUCCGGGCGUUAUCCGGAUUUAUUGGGUUUAAAGGGAGCGUAGGCCGGAGAUUAAGCGUGUUGUGAAAUGUAGACGCUCAACGUCUGCACUGCAGCGCGAACUGGUUUCCUUGAGUACGCACAAAGUGGGCGGAAUUCGUGGUGUAGCGGUGAAAUGCUUAGAUAUCACGAAGAACUCCGAUUG
This 696-nucleotide ribosomal RNA is filed under the name uncultured bacterium. Its description in RNAcentral is "bacterial SSU rRNA". It matches the Rfam family "Bacterial small subunit ribosomal RNA", at positions 32 to 715 of the family's 1533-position model. The record is from RNAcentral.